RNAcentral lists this ribosomal RNA (453 nucleotides) under Photorhabdus sp. Its description in RNAcentral is "bacterial SSU rRNA". It matches the Rfam family "Bacterial small subunit ribosomal RNA", at positions 29 to 479 of the family's 1533-position model. The record is from RNAcentral. Lineage: Bacteria; Pseudomonadati; Pseudomonadota; Gammaproteobacteria; Enterobacterales; Morganellaceae.
AUUGAACGCUGGCGGCAGGCCUAACACAUGCAAGUCGAGCGGUAACAGGAAAGCGCUUGCGCUUUUGCUGACGAGCGGCGGACGGGUGAGUAAUGUCUGGGGAUCUGCCCGAGGGCGGGGGAUAACCACUGGAAACGGUGGCUAAUACCGCAUAAUGUCGCGAGACCAAAGUGGGGGACCUGAAAGGGCCUCACGCCAUCGGAUGAACCCAGAUGGGAUUAGCUGGUAGGUAGGGUAAUGGCCUACCUAGGCGACGAUCCCUAGCUGGUCUGAGAGGAUGACCAGCCACACUGGGACUGAGACACGGCCCAGACUCCUACGGGAGGCAGCAGUGGGGAAUAUUGCACAAUGGGCGCAAGCCUGAUGCAGCCAUGCCGCGUGUAUGAAGAAGGCCUUCGGGUUGUAAAGUACUUUCAGCGGGGAGGAAGGGUGUAGCCUGAACAGGGCUGUAUU